UGGGGAAUAUUGGACAAUGGGCGCAAGCCUGAUUCAGCCAUGCCGCGUGAGUGAUGAAGGCCCUAGGGUUGUAAAGCUCUUUUGUGCGGGAAGAUAAUGACGGUACCGCAAGAAUAAGCCCCGGCUAACUUCGUGCCAGCAGCCGCGGUAAUACGAAGGGGGCUAGCGUUGCUCGGAAUCACUGGGCGUAAAGGGUGCGUAGGCGGGUCUUUAAGUCAGGGGUGAAAUCCUGGAGCUCAACUCCAGAACUGCCUUUGAUACUGAGGAUCUUGAGUUCGGGAGAGGUGAGUGGAACUGCGAGUGUAGAGGUGAAAUUCGUAGAUAUCGGGAGGAACACCAGUGGCGCAAGCGAUCACCUGGGCUAGACCUGACGCUGAGGGACGAAAGCGUGGGGAGCAAACGGGAUUAGAUACCCCGGUAGUCCACGCGGUAAACGAUGGAUACUAGGUGUGAGUGGUAUCGACCCCACUUGUGCCGCAGCUAACGCGUUAAGUAUCCCGCCUGGGGAGUACGGCCGCAAGG
RNAcentral lists this ribosomal RNA (522 nucleotides) under uncultured bacterium. RNAcentral describes it as "bacterial SSU rRNA". It matches the Rfam family "Bacterial small subunit ribosomal RNA", at positions 355 to 893 of the family's 1533-position model. The record is from RNAcentral.